CCUACGGGCGGCAGCAGUGAGGAAUAUUGGUCAAUGGCCGGAAGGCUGAACCAGCCAAGCCGCGUGAAGGACGAAGGUUCCAAGCAUUGUAAACUUCUUUUGUCAAGGGACAAAAUCAGGCUCGAGAGCCUGACCGAGUGUACUUGAAGAAAAAGCAUCGGCUAACUCCGUUCCAGCAGCCCCGGUAAUACGGGGGAUGCGGGCGUGAUCCGGAUUUAUUGGGUUAAAAGGGUGCGUAGGCGGACUGUUAAGUCAGCGGUAAAACCCCGGGGCUCAACCCCGGCGAGCCGUUGAAACUGGCUGUCUUGAGAUGAGGAGAGGUAUGGGGAAUGCGUGGUGUAGCGGUGAAAUGCUUAGAUAUUGCGCAGAACUCCGAUUGCGAAGGCAGCAUACCGGCGGCGAUCUGACGCUGAGGCACGAAAGCGUGGGUAUCGAACAGGAUUAGAUACCCUAGUAGUC
RNAcentral lists this ribosomal RNA (459 nucleotides) under uncultured bacterium. RNAcentral describes it as "partial 16S ribosomal RNA". It matches the Rfam family "Bacterial small subunit ribosomal RNA", at positions 338 to 795 of the family's 1533-position model. The record is from RNAcentral.